AUAAAGUGCUAUAUUAACGUCAAUGGAACAAAGUACAAUUAAAAGUAGGUAUGUAUCAUGUUGUUGCGUCAUAUUAUAGGGAUAUUAUAUAGGACCAUUGCAGCUCUGACACAUUAUACUUUCAGUAGUCGAGUGUUGUAGACGACUCAACAUGAAGCUCCCGUGCAUUUUCGUGAUAGUGGCACUAUGUGCUACACUGUGUAACGCUCACAGGAUUGCUCAACGAGAAUCUUCCGUCAAUAUGAGGGUCAAGAGGCAAGCCAUAAUAAAUACAGGAACAAAAAAUUGCGCAUCUGCACAUGUUUCAACAAAUAAUGGACCCUGCAUUCCAUGUGAAGUAUAUUUGAAAGAGAACUCAGGGACAAACAGAAUAAUUCCUAAGGAAUGUAGCCACGUCACUGGAAGGAGCACCAUCACUAAUCCCUCCCACUACUCUUUAUAUUACGUAAUAUUAAUAGUUCUAACAGUCCUGAAUAAGAGGUACCUACUCAAUUAAACAUUAAUUCUUAUAACAAUAAUCUUAUACGCGAUUGAGUCAAAUAUGUUUAGUAUUAUAUUUGGGUUUUACAAAUUAAUAGAUUGUGUGUGUAUUUAAUCUUUAUAAAAGUUUGAUAACCCCUCGUCUGUCGGUAUAUGAGACACAAUAGAAAACAUAUUGUCAUAGAUCUACGUUCAUACAUACAACUUUGUAUUACAUCUGGCUCAAUCAUGAUGCAUAUAGACUGAGGGAAAUUUACCACAAAUAACACACUCAGCUUCCCUAUAUAUGUUAUAAGUUCUAAAAAGUGCUUAAUGAUUAAACUUAAGCUCACUAAUCCCUUUUUUUGGCAACACCCAAUGAUAGAUAGAGAAUGUCCGUCUUUUAUAUUCAGAGAGCCUGUUUCAAAAUGUCUGGAUAGCCGCUAUGUAUGAUUUUAGAACAUAAUUUUGUAUGAAACAUGAAGCGGUGGAGCACAAAUGCUAAGUGUAAAUAUAAAAUUGUUAUCUGUUUAAAUGCUUUAACAAAUAUGUGCCAUUCAUGUGCCUACUUACGUUAAUUUUAAGAUAUAUAUUGUCACAUAAGUAUAGUGUACAAUAAACUAUGAUAUAAAAAGGUUUUA
This is a long non-coding RNA of Spodoptera frugiperda (fall armyworm), 1100 nucleotides long. RefSeq lists it as uncharacterized. The transcript has 2 exons. The record is from RefSeq and is a predicted model, not a curated record. Lineage: Eukaryota; Metazoa; Arthropoda; Insecta; Lepidoptera; Noctuidae.